AACAUCUUUCUGAAACAGACACAGCAAAACUGGAUAACCUCUAUUACAUCAUGGUCCGUGAAAGGAAGGUUUGCAACCGUGUGGCUCAGGAGCAGCUCAACAAACAACAGCAGGUCAUCCAAAAACUGGUCAAGGAGCAGAAAGAACUCAAGAUAGACCUAAACAUUCUUAAUGCGGGUGCAAAGGCGACGCAGAAGGAUGAAAAGAGGAAGAAACUACAGACUCUGGCCGUAUUGUUGAUAGAUAAAACCCUAAAGCAAGGGAAGAGCUGUGAAGAAGAGCUAGACCAUGAGAUCACAACCAUGACAACCGAGACGAUAAAAUAUAAAAAACAAAAAUCUAUCGUGACUCAAUGUGCAGAGAGAGACCGGGUUCAGAACAAAGUACAGUAUCUGGAGAAGAAGCUGUUAAGAACUUUGAAUUACCUUGAUAGCCAAAGGAAUAAAAUCCAAGAACUGAAGAAAGAGCUGAAGAAUCAGCAUGAGGAGAGUGCCCGUUUACAGCUACACCGGACCACUUACCCACACAAAAAGGUUACUAAUGAUCUUGGCAUGUACAUUAGGGAUAAUAUGAAACGUACUACCCUCGCAUGUGAAGACAGGACCAGCGUUGACAAUAAGAUUAUGAUGAUGAAAAAGAAGGAAGAGAACACCCUUGCCAAAACCCAAAGAAAGAUAAAAGAACUUGCAGCACUAUUCCCCGAGGAAACUGUCCAAGAAGAAGUGGAGAUCCCGGAGGACACAGAGGAAAGCCCAGGUGAUGAAGAAGAGGUCCAAACGUAUGAAGCAGUAGAGUUCCAAGUGGACGAUGAAGAAGUGGUUAACCUGGAGGAUCUCGAAAAAGUCACCUUGGACUUGCUGGUCACCAAGUUCCUCCAGGGUAAGUUGAUUUUUACCAUUCACUUUGGAUUUUUUUUACAACCUACUGAUUCACUCUCUCACUUUGUAGAUGAAAACCAAAAAUGUGAACUUUACACUCUGAUAUGUGAUCAAAAAAAUGAAAUCCAGGAGCAUAACGAUAUUAUUCGGCAGGUAAGCAUGUCUUUAUCUUGUCCCCAUUUAGAAAUAAAGUAUUUAUAUUUGACUGAAUACACGUGA
This 1097-nucleotide long non-coding RNA is filed under the name Takifugu rubripes (torafugu). Its description in RNAcentral is "lncRNA (ENSTRUG00000028733.1)". The record is from RNAcentral. Lineage: Eukaryota; Metazoa; Chordata; Actinopteri; Tetraodontiformes; Tetraodontidae.